GUAUGGCCAGUGCUCCGGAUUGCAGCACCUGUAAUUGCAUUUAGCGGUGAACUCAAGAGAAUAUGUGUCUUCAUUCAGCUAUUCAGAGGAGGGUAAAACGAUUGGGAUCCAUAAAGCAUAUUCUUGUUCGUUUCUGCCAUGGUCACAAGAUGGGUAUCAGAAGUGUUUCUCCUGAGCUCCGCAAAUGUUAAGGCCUAAAGCUAUUGGGUAAUACUUACUGGAAAAUUACAAUUUUUUAUGCAAACUCCUAUUCCCCUGGAAAAGCUAUUAUUGGAUUUUAAAUAGUUCGCGCAGCUGGCAAUGCAACCUGCAACCGGUUUGCGCACCCCGCCGGUGUGGGGUGAAUCUGUUGCUCGAAUUCGUUAAUCUUCAUGUCAUGGAGAUUACUCACCCCCAGCGGCCCCAGCAGCCCCAGCAGCCCCAGCAGCAGCAGCAGCGGCAGGCAGAUCAGCGACCGUUGGCCCAUUGCGAUCUGUAGGUCUCGCCUCCGCUGUAGUCGGAAAACUGCACUAAGCUGUAGAGAGCCGGCCGGACGGAGCCGGUGUCUCGAUAACGAUGCUGGACAAUAAUUUAAGCAUAUCUGGACUAUGAAGAUUAUACAAUCUGCGCCUCCCAUUACCAUGUGUUGAUGAUGUCAGAGCUGUCCCGACGGCGGAGGGGGAGGGGAGGGGGGAGAGGUGGCAGUAAUCGUAGUGCGAUAGAAAACAGCAAGCAGAAGCCUCCACUUCGCUUCGCUUCGCCUUCCUCCUCCACUCAAAGUUUUGAAGCGAAAUUGGCAGUCGCAGCUGCCGUUCGUCAUCUGUUUUAUGUUAACACAUAAGUCGCGGAUCUGCGUUCCGAGUGUUCGUUCAGGUCUUCUUCAGACAUCGCUAUAUGGAUCGCCUAGAUCAUGUGCAUAUGGAACGCAACGGCAGCGGCAACGGCAACGGCAACGGCAACGGCAUUUUCGUAACAUUCCACACUCGCAUUUUGGUUGUAAACAAGAUUUUCUUUUUUCUUUCAUAUAA
Long non-coding RNA from Drosophila miranda, 1007 nucleotides. RefSeq lists it as uncharacterized. The record is from RefSeq and is a predicted model, not a curated record. The transcript is spliced from 2 exons. Lineage: Eukaryota; Metazoa; Arthropoda; Insecta; Diptera; Drosophilidae.